CCAGGCCCGGUCUCCUUCCACCCGGCCCUGCUGUGCGCGCGGCAGGUGCUGACCUGGCGAGGCCGGACAGGGGACCAGGUCGGCGUGACCGUCACUGACACCUGGACAGUCCUCGUUGUGUUCGGGGUGGGAGGCCCACGGAAGACAUCAACACAGGAGACUCCCAAGACUGCUGGGGCCAAAUGUGGCAGGUGGACGUCUCCCCGCCACCGAGCAAGCCAUCAGUUCUGCAGCGGACACCAGCCGAGUGUCCUCCGACACCAUUCCGGUACCUGCAGAUAGCGUCAGAUCCCACAGGAUCUUCAGAGGGAAGGCACCAGGAGUGGACUGCAGGAGGACACAGAAGCUAGGCUGAAGCGGGAGGAAGCUGGGAACCCUGCACGGGGCCACUGUGCACUAGGACUCGUUACUGGUCCCCAAGACUCAGGGAGAAUGGGUGAAUUGAACUGGCAAGGAGGAGCCCACUGUCACUACGGGCCUCUGGAAUCCUGGCAGGAGGAGAUUAACCACCAUGGACACUCGAGGUGGCAGAGAGAGCUGCCUAGAGAAGGUGUGUGGGCAGCAGCCAGCUGAGGCAGAGCCCGGAGGGUUUGGUGCAGGAGCGUCUGUAGUGGAGGGCCAUCCCCCAGGCUCAAAUUCCUCCCAUAGGAGAUUUUAGCCCUAGGGGAGCUGUUGUAUGCGAUCUUUGCAGGGCGGUCUUGCCCAUCAGAUGGGGCCAGUCUGACCCGAGCAUGCCUUGGUCUGCUGGCCUCUCUCAGGGCCCCGGCCUGGCCACGCCUGCUUGCAGGGCAGCUCUGGGUGCCCUGGGGGCCUGCAGCAUAGCUUCUGCACUGGUGGACCAUGCCUGAUUGGUGGAGAGCUCCAGCAGGGCAGCCCCCACAUCCCUGUGCCAGCCUGCCCACUGCCUCCCACACUGCAGCUUCUCCAGGGCCCACUGUCACCCCCCAUCUUGCUUUUGCCAGUGCAUGUCUGUGCAGGUGGGUUUUGCUUUCCUUGCCCGCCAGUGUACCUGUGUGUUUGCACCCUGCCCUGCCAUUGCUGUGGCAGGAGUACCAUUUGCCCCACGCCCCCUGCUGACUGCCAUUGCAGUUGGAGCCUUGGCAGAUGCAGAGCCAGCCAGCCCCACCUCCCUUGCACCCCACUCUUGCACCAACACUGUUGCGGGAGUGAAACUAGGCACAGAACAGGGACCACCCUGCCUGUGGGGCACAAAGAAUGCCACAGGCCUGGGCCUGCCGGUGCUCCACCUCCAUCCCAACACCACCACCAGCAUGGCUGUUGCCAGCAGGGGGCCCUGCCCCACAGGUGCUUUCUUCUGCCACUGUGGUGAACACCUGCACAGAGGCA
Gorilla gorilla gorilla (western lowland gorilla) is the source of this 1347-nucleotide long non-coding RNA. RefSeq lists it as uncharacterized. Lineage: Eukaryota; Metazoa; Chordata; Mammalia; Primates; Hominidae. The transcript is spliced from 3 exons. The record is from RefSeq and is a predicted model, not a curated record.